This 301-nucleotide ribosomal RNA is filed under the name uncultured bacterium. RNAcentral describes it as "partial 16S ribosomal RNA". It matches the Rfam family "Bacterial small subunit ribosomal RNA", at positions 509 to 807 of the family's 1533-position model. The record is from RNAcentral.
CAGUAGCCACGGGAAUACAGAGGGUGCGAGCGUUAAUCGGAUUUACUGGGCAUAAAGCGUGCAUAGGCGGCUUCUUAAGUCGGAUGUGAAAUCCCUGAGCUUAACUUAGGAAUUGCAUUCGAUACUGGGAAGCUAGAGUAUGGUAGAGGAUGGUAGAAUUCCAGGUGUAGCGGUGAAAUGCGUAGAGAUCUGGAGGAAUACCGAUGGCGAAGGCAGCCAUCUGGCCUAAUACUGACGCUGAGGUACGAAAGCAUGGGGAGCAAACAGGAUUAGAUACCCCUGUAGUCCCUGUCUCUUAUAC